Molecule: ribosomal RNA, 496 nt
Filed under: uncultured bacterium
Lineage: Bacteria
Description: partial 16S ribosomal RNA
Rfam family: Bacterial small subunit ribosomal RNA
Source: RNAcentral
AUGAACGCUGGCGGCGUGCCUAAUACAUGCAAGUCGAGCGAACGGACGAGAAGCUUGCUUCUCUGAUGUUAGCGGCGGACGGGUGAGUAACACGUGGAUAACCUACCUAUAAGACUGGGAUAACUUCGGGAAACCGGAGCUAAUACCGGAUAAUAUUUUGAACCGCAUGGUUCAAAAGUGAAAGACGGUCUUGCUGUCACUUAUAGAUGGAUCCGCGCUGCAUUAGCUAGUUGGUAAGGUAACGGCUUACCAAGGCAACGAUGCAUAUCCGACCUGAGAGGGUGAUCGGCCACACUGGAACUGAGACACGGUCCAGACUCCUACGGGAGGCAGCAGUAGGGAAUCUUCCGCAAUGGGCGAAAGCCUGACGGAGCAACGCCGCGUGAGUGAUGAAGGUCUUCGGAUCGUAAAACUCUGUUAUUAGGGAAGAACAUAUGUGUAAGUAACUGUGCACAUCUUGACGGUACCUAAUCAGAAAGCCACGGCUAACUACGUG